UAUUUGUACACAGUAUUAUGUAAUACUGACUUCAUGGUAAUUCCAAUCAAUCCAGAAUGAUUAUUUGUUUAUCAGAAAGGGAGAGGUUGCUCACACACAUGUUUGUGUCAAUAUUGUUGCCUAACUGUGUUCUAUGAUACGCUAUAUUUGCCCAGUAUGUGGUAUCUUUGAGUAUAGAUGGUAGUCAGGCUCGACAAUGCCACGUCAGGUCUCCUCAGGCACCUG
This 225-nucleotide long non-coding RNA is filed under the name Homo sapiens (human). RNAcentral's name for it is "HSALNT0171538". The record is from RNAcentral. Lineage: Eukaryota; Metazoa; Chordata; Mammalia; Primates; Hominidae.